This is a long non-coding RNA of Osmerus eperlanus (European smelt), 5158 nucleotides long. RefSeq lists it as uncharacterized. The record is from RefSeq and is a predicted model, not a curated record. Lineage: Eukaryota; Metazoa; Chordata; Actinopteri; Osmeriformes; Osmeridae. The transcript has 3 exons.
CACAGGAUGAACUGAUGCUCACUUCACACAACUACUCCACUUCCCCAGCUAAAAGACAUUUCUAAUUCUGGAUCCUCCGUGUCUUCAAGCCUGUAAUUUGAUCUGAGUUUGUCUCACUCAAUUAGAGCCUGGGGAAGCUGGAGCUGUGUGCUGUAAUCAUUGGCUCAUAGUCUCCACAAGACAAGGCAAGGCAACAAAAGGAAAGACCUCCCCACCAUCACACCCUCUCUCUCUGUCCUCAGCUGAGUCCAUGGCUCCUUUGACCCGGCGUCAGCCUCUGUAUGCGCUACACAAUACUGGACGUGCACAUCUGCGCACAGACACAGCUGUUAGAGAACACCCCAGUCGUAGCACAGAGGUAGAGGGGAUGUUUUCUGAACACUCAUACAGAGUGCAUAACACAAGCAUAGAUAACACAUUCAUGUUAGUGUGGUCACAUAAACUGUAGACGGAGGGAGGACAAGAUGUGGUUUAGGGUUAGGUGAUGUAAGAGGGCGGAGGUGGACCGUGAGAAGGCUGGAAAGAGAAAUGAGGAGCAAAGAAAUAAGAGUUUAGAGGGAGGACGUUUUCUUGACAUGGCUGUCGAUUGGAACAGGAACAUGUGUGUCUGUACCCCUCUCUGUCUCCAAGUAUGAGCUGCUUUCGAGAACCGAACCCUGAGCCAUGAACCAUGGCCACAUGUUCACAAUGUGACAGGCGUCACAUAUGUUUUCUUGGCAGGUGGGGAGUUCCUGGUUUCUAUGCCAGAUUUCCUUAUCUUUAGACGGCAUGCAUGCACCCAAGGCUGGGCCCCUGCCCUAACCCCCAGCAGUGGCUCAGACUGUGCCUGUUUAGGGUUGGGGGGUGGGGGGAGGGAUGGAUGGAUGGAGGGGUGAACUGACCCCCACAGUAACAGGACCCAAAAAAUCUAAAGGACCGAAAGCCUGAUAAACCCUGGCAGCUGAGCUUCCUCUUACAAAGGGCCUUUCCACCACCACAAACCCUGACACAAGUGUUCACCAACACAAAGAUUCACAAAGACAACGGAUGCGAAAUGCACAGUCAUACACAGCGUAACGCCCUGGCUUUCACACAGACACAGUUUGAAGUUGACUCAGUCUGACCGGCCUGUGGGGCUGCUCCAGUGGAGGAGGGAUGCGUUACGUAACUGGGAGGCUCCGUGGACGUGUUCUGAGUGGAGGCUAUUCUGUGGCUCUGGGCCUGCCUCAGAUACUUUCUCAUCUCAGCUUUGGAAAAGAUUCAUAUCUGGAUUAUACUCAUUUUGUGUGUGUGUUUGUGUCCAGUAUGUGUGUAUGUGUGGGUCAGAUGGCUGAGCGGUUAGGGAGUCGGGCUAUUAAUCAGAAGGUUGUUGGUUCAAUUCCCCGGCUGUGCCAAAUGACGUUGUGUCCUUGGGCAAGGUACUUCACCCUACUUGCCUCGGGGGAAUGUCCCUGUACUUACUGUAAGUUGUUCUGGAUAAGAGUGUCUGCUAAAUGACUAAAAAUGACUAAAUGUAUGAGUAACAUGUACGGGUUUCUUUUUUGGGUGCCCAUCCACCAAAUGGGAGCCCAAGCAGCAGGUUUAGGACAGUGAAGCGUUUUCCUCCUGGAGGGACCUCUGCAGCUCAGCCCUUUGCUUUCAUUGUAGUCAUGGCAGCUGUCCAACUGACCUGCUGUUAUCUCUCAUCUCAGCAUGGUCGAGUUUGGGGCCGGAGGGGGAGGCAAAGAGAGAGAGAGAGUAGCUCAUGUUGAUAUUGAUGAUAAUGUUAGUUAUGUGUUGUUUUCCUGUGAAGGCAUGUCUAAGCUUGCCCAUCUGUACAUAGCCUUCCCCCUUGUGUUUGUAAGUCUGUGUACGCAUGUUUCAGGCUGCUGAUAAGCAAGGGGCCGCUUCAGUUUGGACUGAUGAUUGAGUGUGGUGUGUGAGAGCAGCUGCGUGCUGACAGUGGCACCGUGUUGCAGCUGGCGGGAAGGGGGGGGGCCACAGAACAGACCCCCACUGAUAACAUGGCUCAGACAGACAGACAGGGACAGGGGGCAGGACAUGGUGGGAGGUCACAUGAUAAGACCUCUUGUCUACCGCUGCUGCUGUGGACCAAGACCCAAAUGACCAGUGAUUACAUUAGAGGGGAAGUCUGGGGAGUCAUUGAGUUGUUGAGUUGUUUUAGAAUGCCAGCACAGAUCCAGUGCUCUGUGUCCUUUUUCCUCCAGAGAAGUCAUCGGAACACGUACUUUGAAGGAGAUUUCUCCUUCAAUUUAGAUGAGAUCUCACGGGGAUCUACAAGGUGACAGUGAACAGUGGGAUAAGAGAGAGUGAGAAAGAUAAAAUAAGGGAUGUUUGUAGGGGACCACCAUUUGAAAACAGAAUUGAGAUGUAAACCUUAAGGUUCAUUGCAUGGGCGUCUAUAAUCCAAGACUAUGAGAGUAUUCAUGGAAAGCAGUUCAUUUGAAGGUCACUUCGUAAUCUUGAAAAACAUCUUAUACUCGGAGGUCAAACGCACUCUCUUUCAUUCUCUCUCUUUUUUUCCCGGGUCUGCCUUCAACCUAUCCUAUUUUAGUAUGUUCCGCCUGGCUCUGUUUGCACUCUCAUGAAAAGAUAAAAACUGUUCAGAUGCCGUCUUUCUUUCUCAGGAAAAAACCUGUGGAGGCAGAGUGAGGCUGUUUUCCCAGUCCGGGGGGAGCGAUCUGCUCUCUGCGGAGCCAGGAUGAUACUCUGCAUGGAUUCAACACAGCUCUUUAUAAGGACAGAGGAAAAAGGGCCUGCUGCCUCUAUAUAUAGACCGACUUUAUUGGGCCUCUUGUCUCUUUUCCCCCUCUGCUGCUCUUAGGAAUCUCUCACCAAAGCCAUGUGGGCGGCCAACCCUUCUCUCCUGCCCGCAGAGAGGAGAGUGAGAAUGAUAAUGAUCUGGGUGAUAAUAACAGAAGAGAGAGAGAAGACACGCAGACAAGAGAGAGAGGCAAACAGGAGGAUAGAUGGUGAGAGGGGAAGUGAGUUGGCAUCAGUAUAUCUAACAUGGACUCAGCACUCCUCACUGGCUGUCAUCUCGAUUGCCUAGCAGAAUGAGAAGGUUGAUACAGGGCACUCAACCGAUGUCUCCCUGAGGUCUUCUGGAUGAUUCCAAACUAUGAGCAAUGCUAGUAUUUGUCUGUCUUGUUUUGGGGGCAUGUGUAUGUGUGUGUGUUCUUACUCUCCACUACACUGCUACAUGUAUUUCAAGCGUUGAUCUCUGCUAUCUAAACAGGCCUCUAAACUUGUGCAAUCUUGCUGCCUAAAUCUCUACAGCCAGUGUAUCCCUUAGUGAUACUAACAAACCGUACCUUGGUGUAACAGUAACUGUGUCCAAUCAACUAGGCUUGGAGAGAUUGGAAGACUCAAGUAACAAAACGACAACAAGAUAGUGAAAGCAAAUAUGGACUGAUAAGACAUAGCUACAUUUUAUCACUAUAUUAAAGUGAUUUGUGUUGUCAAUCUGUUUUUUUUUAUAUAAAUCUGUUGCCGGAGUAACCUUAACAUGUCUCUAGAUGUGUGAAACAUCAGACAACACAAGGGAUGUUCAAGUGAUAAACAGAUAGAUGAUCACAAAAAAAACAUAAUAAUCCAAACUCCCAAGAACAUAUUCAUAUUUCCCUGUGAGUAUAAAACGAAUGAAGUAUCUAUUUGAAUUUUGACUUAUUUUCCAGAAGACACUUCUGAGAACAUCUUCAAAGGUUUUGGCUGUGCAACACUCUACAAAAACAAGAUUGUCAAAAUGGGUUGUCUCGUUUGAUGGCCAUGACCCUGUCCAUGAGGAGAUCUGAGGAGGUGUGAGGGUAGCCCCACCCAUAAACACCAUCUCCUCCCUGGAGUUAAAAAGACUCAGGCCAGAUGAAAAAUGAAAUGUUUAUUUGCAUGUGUGCUGUCAAAUACAGGGGUUGUACAGAAGCAUCAACUGCCAAGCAAAUUACAUGCAAAUGAGAUUCAAAUGAGAUAAAAAAGAGGCUGAAAGGGUGAAGGAUACAGUAUGUUUGUAUGCAUGCCAUGGUACACGAGUCACUGCUUUGUACAUCUCUCACAACUGGAUGAAUGAGAAGGUGGACUUUCUAUGAUAACAGUGAACAAUAUUGGACCCGAGAUAAAAACUAAAUGAAAGACCUACAGGAUAUUUGAAUGUCGUGCCAAGGAUUAUCUGAACGUCUAAUUUGGUGACAGUAUGAGUGUGGUAUUUGUAUGCAUGUUUGUGGAUGUAGAGUAUGUACCACAUUUACCUGUUUAUCAUUGGUUUUCCCUUUUAAAACCACCAUCAGUUUCACUACAACAGUAACAGAAGAGCUCUGAGAAUGACCAACGAUGGCGUCACAAUAGUGGUGGACAAUGGGGCUGUGUCGGGGAGAGAAGCCCGGGCGUGGCCACGCUGGACAGAGGCUCCUCACACUGCAGGGGCCACGGCAGCUGUCUGAGCCGCUGUGUGUCUCCCUUCGCCCCACUACCACUCUCUGUUCAGCUCCAACACUGGAACGCAGGGAUGGAGGUGGAGUGGGAGGAGAGCCAGAGAGGGAUAGAUGGCAAACAUAGACUGGAAAACAAAAGGCCAAAGGGACAGAGAGGCCCUUUCAGUUCAAACAUGCACAUACAUACAUACAAGUACACGCCCAAACACACACACACACACACACACAAGCACACUUGCAUAGAUAACCUCACAAUUAUUGUCCAGCCUGCAUUCAUCUUCUCUUCAACACCCCCACAACCCUCACACACUUACCCACUGUUAGUCUCUGCUCCUCCCAUACUUAUAAACGUUGUGCAGUUGAUUUGAGUUACAGGAGUGUUUACCCAAGCUUCUAAAGGAGAGCUAUCCUCUUCAAACAACCAUAACAUUUUACAGGCCACAACAGAGACAAGUGAUGAAGCUAACCCGCUGAACUGAAUUUCACAUAAAGGAAGAAAGAAUUCUGGUCACCUCGGCAGGAUUCUGAAUGUAAGGGCAAAAUCAUAGUCACAAAGAUUCAUGACAGGUACAAACCACCUGGAUAGUAAGAUGAGUCUGAUGAACAAUUGAAACAGCCCUUGUGGGACUGUGCAAACAGUGGAGGAACCUCAUUGACUGUAUAUUAAGUCUGAAUAAACACAAAGCCCACCUGCUCUUCAGUUUACGUUUAAUGAGAACUACACAACAAAAGCCCAGAACAAUAGUCACUGCCAC